UACGAAGGGGACUAGCGUUGUUCGGAUUUACUGGGCGUAAAGCGCGCGUAGGCGGAUCGCUAAGUCAGGGGUGAAAUCCCAGGGCUCAACCCUGGAACUGCCUUUGAUACUGACGAUCUGGAGAUCGGGAGAGGUUGGUGGAAUUCCGAGUGUAGAGGUGAAAUUCGUAGAUAUUAGGAAGAACACCGGUGGCGAAGGCGGCCCACUGGUCCGGUACUGACGCUGAGGUGCGAAAGCGUGGGGAGCAAACAGG
This 253-nucleotide ribosomal RNA is filed under the name uncultured bacterium. RNAcentral's name for it is "partial 16S ribosomal RNA". It matches the Rfam family "Bacterial small subunit ribosomal RNA", at positions 524 to 776 of the family's 1533-position model. The record is from RNAcentral.